RNAcentral lists this long non-coding RNA (637 nucleotides) under Numida meleagris (helmeted guineafowl). RNAcentral describes it as "lncRNA (ENSNMEG00000019144.1)". The record is from RNAcentral. Lineage: Eukaryota; Metazoa; Chordata; Aves; Galliformes; Numididae.
GCUUUAAUCAACUUAAAGAUAAGAUUAUUUCAGAUUUGGAAAAUGAAGUCCAUUCUACUCAAUGGAAUAUUGCGUUGCCAAGGCAAAUAAUUGAUUAUACUUUCUGAUAAUGCUCUUUUCAUCUAUUUCAGGUAGUACUAUUAUUGCAACUGUAAUGAUUUGGAGCUAUAAAUUAUGGAAGAUUUAUGUACAGGUUUCAGUAGAGGUGGCAUCCAGGGGAACUUCGUUGAUGUCCCUCACAGAUGUCACUGCUGACUCAUAUAGGUUUAGAGGUGAGCAAGGGGGAGUUGCAGCCUAAUGCAUCACUCUCUGCAACCAUACAGAAACAGAGCAGAUGCUGAAAUCUUUGAAUGCCUUAUGUUGUCACAGUCUGUAAUCAGCAGAUUUUGCUCUCUUGACUGGUGAUGUUACAUUCAUAUAUUGCCUAGAGGCCACAAAGCAAGAAGAAGAAGCGAAUAUGUUGCUUGUCAGCCUGCAAUUUGUCUGUAUUGGCACUUCACCAUAUAUCUUUCAUCAGAUGUACUCAUUUUGGGAAAAUUGUUUUGUUUUGUGAUUCCUCUCAUAUUAAUAUGCCACAGUUCCAGGUUUGUACCUCUUGCACUGCUAUGAAUGGCAUAGUAUAUUAAUUCUUGUUAAG